GACGAACGCUGGCGGCGUGCCUAAUACAUGCAAGUUGAGCGCUGAGGGUUGGUACUUGUGCCAACUGGAUGAGCAGAGAACGGGUGAGUAACGCGUGGGGAAUCUGCCUUUGAGCGGGGGACAACAUGGGGAAACGAAUGCUAAUACGGCAGAAAAACUUGAAACACAAGGUGGAAGGGUGAAAGAUGCAAUUGCAGGACGGAAAGGUGAUCCCGCGUUGUGUUAGCUAGGUGGUGAGGUAAAGGCUCACCAAGGGGAUGUUACAUAGCCGACGUGAGAGGGCGAUCGGCCACACUGGGACGGUGACACGGCCCAUAGGGCUACGGGAGGCAGCCGGAGGGAAACUUCGGGAAUCGACGAAAGUCUGUGCGAGAAGCGCCGAGGGCGUGAAGAAGAUUUUCGGAUCGUAAAACUCGGUUGGUAGAGAAGAACGUUGGUGCGAGUGGAAAGCUCAUCGAGUGACGGUAACUACUAAGAAAGGGCCGGCUAACUACGUG
RNAcentral lists this ribosomal RNA (497 nucleotides) under uncultured bacterium. Its description in RNAcentral is "partial 16S ribosomal RNA". It matches the Rfam family "Bacterial small subunit ribosomal RNA", at positions 28 to 507 of the family's 1533-position model. The record is from RNAcentral.